This is a non-coding RNA of Gymnothorax javanicus (giant moray), 73 nucleotides long. The record is from the annotation of a GenBank genome assembly. NCBI's taxonomy places the organism in Eukaryota, Metazoa, Chordata, Actinopteri, Anguilliformes, Muraenidae.
GGCUCGGUGGUGUAGUGGUUAGCACUGCUAUCUCGCAGCAAAGAAGUUGUAGGUUUGUAUCCGGCCUGAGGCC